AGUGCGCCUCAGAGAGCCUUGUCCGCCCAGAGAGAGGAGAGGAAAACUGCAGUCCGGCUGUGAUGCGUAUCGGGGCUCUGCUGGCUCAACGACACUCGCAUGGGAUAAAAACAAAACAGAGCAACCUCCCGGCCAUAUUUUAUCGCGUGUGUGCGUGUGUGUUUGUGCGUGUGUCUGUGUGUGAGGACUUGAGAGAAAUGCUCCUGUAGCGAACAUUAUCGCCCGCGUUUUCUUCCCCCCCUCUUGCCUCACAUUUGGAGCUAACUUGGAGCUCGGACGUUGAGCAAGUUUUGUGUUUUUUUCUUUUUCUUUUUUUUUUUUCUCUAUUAACUUGAAUUACAUUUGAGUCGCUCACUCGGAGCCCAGAGGCCAGGAAAAGAGAGAGAGACAGAGAGAGAGAGAGAGAGACAGAGAGAGAGAUGGAGAACGAAAAGUACUUGCCGGAGCUUAUGGCAGAGAAGGACACGCUGGACCCGUCUUUUCAGCACUCCCUCCGGCUACUGGACCAAGAGAUCGAAAAAAUUCAGAAAGAUGAGGGGAAAGAAGAGGAGAAGUUCAUCGACGUCGUCAUCAACAAGAACAUGAAACUGGGCCAGAAAGUUUUAAUACCAGUCAAGCAGUUUCCUAAAUUUAACUUUGUCGGCAAACUCCUCGGGCCACGCGGGAACUCGUUAAAGAGACUACAGGAGGACACUCUCACAAAGAUGUCAAUUCUUGGAAAAGGAUCCAUGAGAGACAAAGAAAAGGAAGAAGAGCUACGACAGAGCGGCGAGGCCAAAUAUCAUCACCUGAAUGAAGACCUCCACGUCCUCAUCGAGGUGUUCGCCCCGCCGGCUGAGGCCUACGCCAGGAUGGGUCACGCUUUGGAGGAGAUCAAGAAGUUUCUCAUACCAGAUUACAAUGAUGAGAUCAGACAGGCCCAGCUGCAGGAGCUCACAUACCUGAACGGCGGCUCGGAGGAUGCCAAGGUGCCAUCGGUGAGGGGCAAGUCAGCCGUCCGUGGAAGAGGGACACCUGUUCCAGGUCCUCCCAGGACUCGAGGUGGAGUUCCUCCCCUGCAUGCAGCGGUGCCCCGAGGAGCAGCACCCAGAGGAGCCCCACCCAGCCGGGCUCCAUCUUCCAGAGGGAGGGGGGUUCAGAGAGCCAGAGGCGCCCCUCCAACCCCCGGAUACCGGCAGGCUCCUCCCAUAGUUCAGGACACAUACGGCGAAUAUGAAUAUGACGACGGCUACGGAACAGCUUAUGAUGACCAAGGAUAUGAAUCGUACGACAACAACUACAGUAAUCAAGGACAAAACUCAGAUGAGUACUAUGAAUAUGGACACAGCGGCGAAUCAUAUGAAUCCUAUGGUCUGGAAGAGUGGGCAAACAAUCGCGGCAAGGCACCGUCAGUACGAACAACCAAGGGAGUGUACAGAGAUCAGCCAUACUCCAGAUAUUGAACUGUUUAUACAACCCACACCUGAGUCCUCAUGGCUGUUUCAACCCAAGUCCACGUCCCGGCUACAGCAGGCCAAGCCAUCCAACCGUCUCAUUGGUGCUAAAGACUUGACAAAAACCACACAUGAGCUUCCCUCCAGGCGUUCACCCCCUCCCAAAGUCAAACCGAAUUCCCGAAAAAAAAAAAAAAAACGGCCGUCCAACUUCACAGAGAAUCUUCACCUUGGCCGAAAGCUGGACUCUCACAUUUUCACAGUCUGGACGGAGGUGAAUCCUUCGGGGGAGAGGCGGUGGACAAGAUGGACUGACCUGUUGAGAUGAAGAGAAAAAAAAAGAAAUGAAAAAGAAAAAGAAAAGGAGGGAAAAGAUAAUACAUGUAUCACACAUCGUCAGUCUCGGGAGAAAGAAGGGAGGAAGAGAGAGGGAAUCCGUGAGGCAAACGGAGCUCCUCAUCCUCCGGGACGAUGUGUCCAAGUGAAUUUCCUUCGGAGCAUCGGCGCCCUCCGUAUACAUUUUACAUACACACAGGAGUGCUCUGAACUGACUGUGAACCUGCGCCGUGUCUUUCUUUAUUUAGGCUGUUGUCUACCACUUACAUUAGACUUUUAACUGUCGACCUAGCUGGGAGGGUGAGUAAAUAAAUAAUGCAAUCUGCUGAGGGUAUGACAUCACAUCUCGAGCAGACACCUCUAAUCUCAAAUUGUUGGCGCUCAUUAACCUAUAUCCAAUCCACUCCAGCGAAUAAAUAAUUCACCAAGUGCCUUACUGUUGCCUUGUUGUGACAGUUUUUUUGUUUUUUGUUUUUUUUUAUGUUUAGCGUCAGUGCCAGAGUUACAAUAUGAGGCGCUGCGCUGGAAAAGGUAGCAGCUCUUCCUUCUUUCAUGCCGCUUUUUGGUUUUUCUGUAUCGUCACUGUAACGCGAGAACCCGCCACCCCCCCCGCCCCGCACGCAUGACAGUAGGGUCCAUUCCAGAUGUAUUGCUUAAUCAGAAUCGACUUGAGUGGAUAUUACAAUUCCAAAAUAGCUUUCUGUCGGAUAGAGGGCUUCAUUCUGUCUUGUGCAUAAGUCCAGAUAGGCUGAUCCGUAUUCCGCACAGUUGUAUGUCCUCAGUGGCAGACAAUGGUUUUCCAUUAGAGGGAGUGAUUCUCUGUGGAGCCGCGGGCCAAGCCUCACACAAUAACACGGCGACCUAAAGCUCGCAUCUGGGGCUCCCAGAGUCAACUCUCAUCACCUCCGGGGGGCUGACUCCCCCCCACCACCCCUCCGAGGUGGCUUAAAAAAAAACGACAGGCUUAUCUGAAGUGAGCUUGUCCGAGUUAAUAAAGUAAGAGCAGCUUAUUUGAUUAAGAAUGCAUACAAAGGAGGAUGUAGUGAUCUGUCACUGGGAGACGAGUUCAUUCCGGCACUAGAAUGCAGACAGUUAUAUCUCCACGUUCCAUGUAAACCCUGCGCAGUUACAUUUGUGUCAGCUGUGUCUCUUUUCGUUGCGCCGCUUUUAAGUGUUUCGCUCGAUCCCGCCGUUGUUGUCCGUGCUUUUUCCUUUUGCAUUUUCUUAGUUUAGCUUCCCCCUCACAGUAGCCAGCUACGUUUCAGGGAGCCAGCAUUGUUUCACAACAAAGAUUUUAUUUUUUUUUUUUCAAACCCAGCUCGGGGGAUGCAUGUCGGACACUCACCAGGCAGGGAUUUGAGAGAUGAUUUCACGCAGCGGGUCACAGCGGUGGUGACUACAGCUCUCUCUGACGGGACCCACUACCUCAUAUUCAGAAGCGCAUAGUGCGCCCUAAUCCCUCAUCCAAACACUGAUAUCAUCAUCCAUCGUCCAACCCUGUUUUUUACACUUGCGUGGUGCUGGGCAGAUUUGGUCACCUUCAGAACCAGCCAGGCUAGCUGGUUCCCAGAUGUUUCCGGCCCCGUGCUUGGCUAAGCUAAGCUAAGCUAAGCUAACCAGCUGAUUCAGCUUCAUAGUGGCUUUAGAAAUCAAUUGUAAGAUGCGAUUAAAGUCACCUUCAAAAUGUUAUAAUGGCUUCAGUUUUUUCUGAAAGAUGAGAACCUUGGUGCGACCCGUUCAUUUCCCAGUGGCCCUGCAUCAGAUGUAUAAGAGUAACAGGUUAGCGGUGGCUCGCAGUGUCUUUUUUACUUACCACUUGGAGGCGCCACACUGGCUUUAAUUUUACUCCCUUAAAAGGACAUGAGGCAUGAAAGUUUAUCUUAAAAAUAUAUAUAUAUAUAUAUUUUAAUCUCUCAUGCCCUACUUAUAACUAAGCAAAGGUAAAUUAGAUCCCUCCCUUUUUUGGCUUUGAAAGAGCAUUUAAAAGGCAAUGGAUUUUUUGAUUCUAUGAAGUACGCUUCCCCCACUCGUAUUCCUCUUAAUCAUGUUGAGGAUCUAAAGUGGCCGCCUCCUGGCUUUUGUUCCAUAAUUAACUGGAGGGCUCUUUAUCUUACUGAGAUUAAAACACCCUGAUCAAUGUUGAAGUGUCCCUCUGUCUCCUUUAGAACGGAGCGCUAAUGCGGCCACGGGUCAGCGUGUGUCGCCUGCUAAAUGGAAACUCAGAUUGAGAGGGAUCGAUCAUUACAGGGGCCCGCGAGUGAACGGGGGCGGAACAAUAGCAAUAAUACAGAGAAUUUACCACCAUUGUGUUCACCAAUAAAACGCUUUUCAACAAACAGUAAAGCCAUCAAACUUUUUUCUAAUAUAAUUACGUUUGGCGCUUUUUUUUUUAUUUUCGUGAUUAGUAUUUUAGUUGCUUGCAGGGCAAAAGAGCAGAUGCUAUAAAGAGAAAUCAAAUAUAUAAAGAACAGAGAGGCUUUAAAACAAGAAAAAACAAGUCACAGGCAGAGACAAAAGAUGGAGAAAGAAAAAGAGGGAACCACAGGGUGAGAGCAGGUGCAUACAAAUACCAACACUGAAAGGAAAUCUUCUCUUUAUAUUUAUAUGAGCGCUUUGUAGGGAGAAGCAGAUAUCAAGCAGGAACAAGACUGGGGAACAACUUUUUGAGCAAAGUCGA
Molecule: RNA transcript, 4446 nt
Organism: Acanthopagrus latus (yellowfin seabream)
Lineage: Eukaryota; Metazoa; Chordata; Actinopteri; Spariformes; Sparidae
Gene: khdrbs3
Gene name: KH domain containing, RNA binding, signal transduction associated 3
Exons: 11
Source: RefSeq, a predicted model, not a curated record